GACGAACGCUGGCGGCGUGCCUAAUACAUGCAAGUUGAGCGCUGAAGGUUGGUACUUGUACCCACUGGAUGAGCAGCGAACGGGUGAGUAACGCGUGGGGAAUCUGCCUUUGAGCGGGGGACAACAUUUGGAAACGAAUGCUAAUACCGCAUAAAAACUUUAAACACAAGUUUUAAGUUUGAAAGAUGCAAUUGCAUCACUCAAAGAUGAUCCCGCGUUGCAUUAGCUAGUUGGUGAGGUAAAGGCUCACCAAGGCGAUGAUACAUAGCCGACCUGAGAGGGUGAUCGGCCACAUUGGGACUGAGACACGGCCCAAACUCCUACGGGAGGCAGCAGUAGGGAAUCUUCGGCAAUGGACGAAAGUCUGACCGAGCAACGCCGCGUGAGUGAAGAAGGUUGUCGGAUCGUAAAACUCUGUUGGUAGAGAAGAACGUUGGUGAGAGUGGAAAGCUCAUCAAGUGACGGUAACUACCCAGAAAGGGACGGCUAACUACGUG
Molecule: ribosomal RNA, 497 nt
Filed under: uncultured bacterium
Lineage: Bacteria
Description: partial 16S ribosomal RNA
Rfam family: Bacterial small subunit ribosomal RNA
Source: RNAcentral